Molecule: long non-coding RNA, 390 nt
Organism: Daphnia carinata
Lineage: Eukaryota; Metazoa; Arthropoda; Branchiopoda; Diplostraca; Daphniidae
Exons: 3
Source: RefSeq, a predicted model, not a curated record
ACCCUACAUCUUUGAUACUAUGACGACUGAAGUACCAAAUUCUUGGCGGAGUGAAUGCGCCUUUAGAAAACCUUAGGUCGACCCCCCGUUUCGUAGGGAUCAUCAGCCAUUGCGAGACGUGGGAUCGAUUUUUCGUCAUGAUCAAUUCAUCGCCUCGAGUGCCACAAACAAAGCCUUCAUCUCAGCUGAGAGACACUGACUCAACAAUAAAUUCUAUGACUAUCACAGCUGAAACCAACAUCUAAGCUCUCAUGAUGCUAAGGACUUCAUUUGGCUGGGAAAUAUCCGAAGUGUUUACGAAGUUGUUCAAGGAAAACGAACGUCAAAAUAGUUUGUGGUGCCAAACGGAUGAAGGCCGGAACGUAGCCCUUGAAAAACCCCAAAGGUCCC